This is a non-coding RNA of Cinara cedri, 331 nucleotides long. NCBI's taxonomy places the organism in Eukaryota, Metazoa, Arthropoda, Insecta, Hemiptera, Aphididae. The record is from the annotation of a GenBank genome assembly.
CUGUGGUCCGCCCGGUUCUCACUGUUUGGCAAGACGGGAAACGGUCAAUUGGUCCCCGGAUAAUUGUUCCCAGCGAAAAAACGUUGUAUGUGGACAAUCAACCCCCGUCAUAAUUUUAUACACAGACAAUUGGUUCAGGGAAAAUUUUAUUUUCAUACUUUUGAAUAGUUCACCAACUACAUAUCGGAACCGUUCAACAAUAAAUUACAACAUAAUAUGUUGACAAUAUUACUGUUCAGAUUAUGCAUCUAAGUAUUUAUUUGUUUAUUGAAUCUUAUAUCUGUAGAUAUCGUUUUUCCGAAAUAGGUGCUUAUCAAUUUUUCGAACAAGA